CAGGUCAGCAUACUGCCGUGAAUACGUUCCCGGGCCUUGUACACACCGCCCGUCACACCAUGAGAGUUGGGAAUACCCGAAGCCUGUGAGCUAACGUUAAGAGGCAGCAGUCGAAGGUAGAAUCAAUGAUUGGGGGUGAAGUCGUAACAAGGUACC
This 156-nucleotide ribosomal RNA is filed under the name uncultured bacterium. RNAcentral describes it as "partial 16S ribosomal RNA". It matches the Rfam family "Bacterial small subunit ribosomal RNA", at positions 1345 to 1500 of the family's 1533-position model. The record is from RNAcentral.